AGAGAGAUAGUUGAGUGGUUGAUAACUCUGGUUUGAAAAUUGGUAUAGUUCACAACAAGAACUAUCGAGGGUUCGAAUCCCUCUCUCUUUU
This is a non-coding RNA of Stylosanthes scabra, 91 nucleotides long. NCBI's taxonomy places the organism in Eukaryota, Viridiplantae, Streptophyta, Magnoliopsida, Fabales, Fabaceae. The record is from the annotation of a GenBank genome assembly.